CAUGCAGGCGGUCGGACGCGUUUUGUGUGACAGCGCAUGGCUCAACUAUGCGAGCAUACGAAAGACGGUUUGACUUGAGGGCUCGAGAGGGACACGGAAUUCCGGGUGGAGUGGUGAAAUGCGUAGAGAUCCGGAGGAACACCGAAGGCGAAGGCAGUGUCCUGGCGAGUGAACCUGACGCUGAGGUGCGAAAGCCAGGGGAGCGAACGGGAUUAGAUACCCCGGUAGUCCUGGCCGUAAACGAUGACCACCAGGUGUAGGAGGUAUCGACCCCUUCUGUGCCAAAGGGAACCCAUUAAGUGGUCCGCCUGGGGAGUACGGUCGCAAGAUUAAAA
This 335-nucleotide ribosomal RNA is filed under the name uncultured bacterium. Its description in RNAcentral is "bacterial SSU rRNA". It matches the Rfam family "Bacterial small subunit ribosomal RNA", at positions 568 to 899 of the family's 1533-position model. The record is from RNAcentral.